AUGGUUGUGGUGCUCGUAGCCUGC
RNAcentral lists this non-coding RNA (24 nucleotides) under Arabidopsis thaliana (thale cress). The record is from RNAcentral. Lineage: Eukaryota; Viridiplantae; Streptophyta; Magnoliopsida; Brassicales; Brassicaceae.